CUUUGCUCUUUCUCCGCCGCAGCGCCAACACUUCCUCCGCCGCCUCCUUCCUCUGUUCCAAUUUUGGAGGCCAGCCAUAGCUAGAAAGUUCCAGUCUCCACCUCUGUAUGUUUUUUUUUCAUUCCCCAAUUCUUAAACUCGCCGGAGUUCCUGCAAAACACCGGAACUUCAGGAGGCAAGCAAAGAAGAACAUUUUGUUACAUGGCAUUUGGAGGGCGAGGACGUAAUGGCUUUGGUGGUGGUGGCUUUCAUGCUGCCAAGCAAGUGAAAUUUGAACUAUUUCCAACAUGCAGAAGUUGGAUGUCUUUGAAAAGCUUGAGCAGAAGUGUCAGGUAAGAGUGCCACUGCUUGUUUUAAGCACUGCUUUCUCUCUUUCAGUAGAGAAGAUUGAAACACCAAACAGCAGAAGUAAAAGAAAGUGAUUUCUUUAUUCAGUAGCACAAUAGAAGUAAGGAUUCUUGAGAAGAUGAAUGUAUCUUUCUACUCGCUUUCUUCGCUUGUCGUAGUUGGUUGUCUUGAUAAUUCUGUUUCUAUUCACCUCAAAUGCAAUAGGGUCAAGAAAUAAAUGAGGAGGAGGGGGAUGAAGAGGAGGAAGAAGAUGAAAACGUUGAAGAGGAAGAAGAGGAGUAUAGUGAUGAUGGUGAUUAUAAUCUGGUAUUUGUAACAAUCAAGACUGUUAGCACUCACCCCCCCCCCCCCAGAGUUCCCUGCCUGGGUGGAGGGGGGUGUGGGAUCAACUGUUAGCACGGCAAAUAUUUGUCAUAGCAAAUAUCAUAGAUGCAUGCAUCUGGUAUAGAUGCACCAAAACUCUGAAAAUUGUUGCAGAACAUUGAUUUUGAUGAUGACGAAGACGACUUUAACAUAAGUGAUGAUGAUGAUGGUGAACCAGAAUUGUAAAUGUCCUUAUCCAGCAUCCUUCUAGUUGGGACCAAAUUUUGCAGAGAAAGAAACAUCCUUGUCCUCUUGCAUAAAGCUGGAUUCAGGCGCUUGGAGAUUCACCAAAGUUUACUCCGUCAAAUCUUGAUGGUCCAGUUUUUCCAGUGUAUAGAGGCAUGCAUAGUUUUGUCUCGGUUGUAAGUUGUUGGAGUUGGGAGUGAGGGCUGGAGCUUUGCUUCAUUUUGAUAGCAUGAAAUGAAAUUGCACCUUGAAGUCAAAAAUUGUAGCGUCAUGCCGGAGGGCUUGAGAUACUCGUUGUAUUUUUGUACUCUUUAAUCCUUUAAUCCUGAUCUUGGGCGUUGG
Molecule: long non-coding RNA, 1239 nt
Organism: Coffea eugenioides
Lineage: Eukaryota; Viridiplantae; Streptophyta; Magnoliopsida; Gentianales; Rubiaceae
Exons: 4
Source: RefSeq, a predicted model, not a curated record